Molecule: ribosomal RNA, 496 nt
Filed under: uncultured bacterium
Lineage: Bacteria
Description: partial 16S ribosomal RNA
Rfam family: Bacterial small subunit ribosomal RNA
Source: RNAcentral
GAUGAACGCUGGCGGCGUGCCUAAUACAUGCAAGUCGAGCGAACGGACGAGAAGCUUGCUUCUCUGAUGUUAGCGGCGGACGGGUGAGUAACACGUGGAUAACCUACCUAUAAGACUGGGAUAACUUCGGGAAACCGGAGCUAAUACCGGAUGAUAUUUUGAACCGCAUGGUUCAAAAGUGAAAGACGGUCUUGCUGUCACUUAUAGAUGGAUCCGCGCUGCAUUAGCUAGUUGGUAAGGUAACGCCUUACCAAGGCAACGAUGCAUAGCCGACCUGAGAGGGUGUGCGGCCACACUGAAAAUGAGAAACGGUCCAGAUACCAACGGGAGGCAGCAGUAGGGAAUCUUCAGCAAAGGGCGAAAGCGUGACGGAGCGACGCAGCAUGAGAGUAGAAGGACUACGGGUCGUAAAACGCUGUUAUUAGGGAAGAACAGAUGUGAAAGUAACAGUGCACAUCUGGUCGGUACGUAAGCAGAAGGCAACGGAGAACUACGC